RNAcentral lists this ribosomal RNA (253 nucleotides) under uncultured bacterium. Its description in RNAcentral is "partial 16S ribosomal RNA". It matches the Rfam family "Bacterial small subunit ribosomal RNA", at positions 524 to 776 of the family's 1533-position model. The record is from RNAcentral.
UACGAAGGGGGCUAGCGUUGUUCGGAAUUACUGGGCGUAAAGGGCGCGUAGGCGGCGUGUCAAGUCAGGCGUGAAAGCCCCGGGCUCAACCUGGGAACCGCGCUUGAGACUGGCAUGCUCGAGUUCGGGAGAGGAUGGUGGAAUUCCCAGUGUAGAGGUGAAAUUCGUAGAUAUUGGGAAGAACACCGAUGGCGAAGGCAGCCAUCUGGGCCGACACUGACGCUGAGGCGCGAAAGCGUGGGGAGCAAACAGG